Molecule: long non-coding RNA, 712 nt
Organism: Panicum virgatum (switchgrass)
Lineage: Eukaryota; Viridiplantae; Streptophyta; Magnoliopsida; Poales; Poaceae
Exons: 2
Source: RefSeq, a predicted model, not a curated record
UUGUUUGGUUUCCUGUAGAGCCCUGCUAGCCAGGCUUACCUAAUGCAAAAGGUGCCCCUUAGCCUGGCUUCGGUAGUACGCGAAAAUCGACCGCUCUAGCUGAAGCCAGGCUUGUACUAGCCGAGUUGGCACAUCCCCUCACCUUCCUCCUGCUGUUCCGCUUUGCUCCUUCGCAGCUACAAGCUUGACCCUGCCGAUACAUGGAGGAGACUCCGGGAAGGUCGAGGCUCGAGACUCCUGGAACGACGUCGACGUCGUUGCCGAUGGGGGCGCAGGGCUGGCAUCGGGCGCCUCCCCUUUCUGAUCUUGCCUUCGAAGUUCCAUCCUCCAAUGGAGGGAAGCAAGAACGGAGUACAGAGGAGUCAAAUUAAUCAAGUACACGGCUGAGCACAAACUCCCCGCGAGCUGGUGGCCGACGCCGCCGUCGUUGCUGCGGGAGAUGGUGAGCCCAGAUCUUGCUUGUUUGUUCCUCUUUGGAUUUUGAGGAAAGCCUCUUCCUUUUGCUUGCUUGCUCCUCCGUGAGUUUACAGUGAUUCAGCGGCUCGCUUGGUCCUCCGUGAGUUCAUACUGGUUCAGUGGAUAACCUGUUCGUCAAAAUGUGCUUCCGAGGAGGACUGUUGGUUUUCAUUUUUUUAUUUGUACGACUUGCUUUGUAGUAUUCAUAUGAUUCAUAUUUAUUCUACGGAAGGAAGAGAUGAUUUUAUUCAAGGCA